UGUAACCUUCGAAAAACAAAAAAUGCAACGAAGAAGUAAGACGUAGGAAUACUCCAGCCUCGUCGAGAUCUCCUACUAGGCAUUCGCACUGCGUGCUCCAUAAGGUCGGCUCAAGUUAACCUCCUCUGCAAAGUCCUGUUUCUACCAGAUCGAUCGGAUGGCUGCCUCUUGAAGCUUCUUAUUCACAAAAUCAAAUAGAUCGCUUCAUUUUCCUCAUAUUGAUACUAGUUUUGUUUGGUCUGAGCUGAUUCUGUGUCGAAUCUCUACUUUGUAGGCAGGUGAAGUUCCUCACUGAGGAGAUCUGGUAUAUCUGAGAUGUGUGCUUCAGAUCUGGUAGAUAUGAGAUGUGUGGUUCAUAACAUUUUUGUCAGGCUUGGGAAGCUGUUGCUAUCGGUGAGAGGUGCUUUGAUGCUGCAUGAACCACUUCAAGAUUCAGAUUCAUUUUGAUUAGAUCUUGUUUGGGCAGCUACUGGAUGAUCGUGUGCAGCAUUCUCUGAGUUGUGGAGUGGAUUUUCAAUCUGCUUCUAUUUUGAGAAUCAAUAAUGGAGACAAACUAUCAACGGAGGAACUCCUCUUGGAUUCUUUCAUUUUGAGCCGUUCUUAAAAAAAAUUUGAGCUACAAUUGUAAUGGCAAAAAUGUACUUUUUGUCAUUCAAUUAUGGGGCGAGUUUUAUUGUCGUCCUUAAGCUUUUUUUUUCUUCUCAUUUUCCUCCCUCAACAAUUGGAAAAUAUCAUUUUCAUCCUUCAAGGGAGAUUGAAGUGGGGAAAUGUUUGCGUGGAUUUUUUCAGCACCGGAUUUAUUCUAAGGACAAACGGGGUAUUUUUUCAUAGUUGGGGAUGAAAAAAGGAGGAAAAAAAAGUCAAGGGACGAAAAUGAAACCCGAUCGAGGGAUGAAAAGUGUCUUUUUGUCUGAUUCUAAUAUAGCUGAUUUUGAAGAAUUGUUUAAAAAGUUCUAUUGAUACAUGGGUUAUGCAUGUUAUGCGUAUAUGUGGGUGGGCUUUUAAGGGAAGAAUGCGUUGGAAUCCUUUUGCUAGUUGUUUUUUUUUUUGAGGUUUUCAUUAAUUAUUACUCAACAAGGGUGUCAAGAAUUAUGUCACCUGUUUUUGUAUAGUAAACUGUUUAUUUUACAAAGAUUAUAAUAAAGUAACGCGAAACUUUUUUUAUUAACAUAAAAUAUUGUAAAAUAGCGGUGGUUGUAGAAUAUUUUUCCUUGGCCUUUUAUCUUCAAAACGAAUUUGUUUUAUAUUGGGCUUAAUUUCUCCCUCUGCUCAUACCAUGGGCUUUAUUUACAAGAGUCUCGUGGGUUGGAUGAUACUGGACAUUGGAAUGGCGGAGUCUAGCAUGUACAUAUUUGCCUGCCCCAAGUAAAACCUAAUGGGUGGCUCGCACCGGACCAAAGAAAAGGACAAGUUCUAGAAGAUAAGAAAAACGUGGUUGUCCAUUUGCCGUGAGAAUAACGAUAAGCGUAGAAGUAACGCAAAGCAAUAUUUGACUUGUUCCCACGCCAGCGCAUAACAUAUGUCAACCCUUUGAUCAUUUCAUUCAUUAUCAAUCGUCUCCGUCCAUUUCGCAGAGAGCCCUCUAUAUAUUUAGUUAGGGUUUCCUCACAAUUCUCUCAUAAUUCGAUUUCCGCCUCUGAAUUUUAUCUUGUGGGCAUCCUCUUUCUGACUCUCUUCGGAAUUAAGGAUGUCUUAUAUGUUAGGGUUUUCGCUGGAUUUGUGUAGAUCGCUUAACGAUCUAUACGCUGAUGGAAGGCUCGCGUGUAUUGAGACGAUUCCUACUUUGAAUCUCGGAUCUGGCCAGACGUGAUCAAGGUUAAUAGAGAUCUUGUUGGAGGAUUGUGAUGCCGAACUUGCCUUUAUUGUUGGAUCUGUUGCUUGUAGUUACUCUGGAGAGUACAGGUACAGCCUUCACGAGAGCUGUGGAGGGCUCCUUUGGACGGGGUGAUGUUUUCGUCAUCGCCAGAGGUGCUUCUAGAUGCGGAUCUUGAGCCUGUAUCGAUGUAACGAGCACAAUCUUGGAUCUGCUAUUGUUUUUGAGGAUUAACUGUCGAUUUGGAUGUAUAAGAUAUCGGGAUGAAGAGGUCUAAUUUCAGGGGGCCAAAUCCUGUACAAUCUUUGUCAUCCGACCUUUGCCAUGGCAGGUGCGCUUGCAUGGCAGGUCACCCAUACACUUAAUAAAGAUAUCAUUUUGUGUUUUGAGGGGAGAUCGCACGGGGAUUUGCCCGGGAUCUCUCCUCGUGUGUGUGUGAUGUGUUGGUCUUUAUCCCUCUUUCUAUCCCGUCUCAACGGCCAAUAUCCUUGAUUCUUCAUAUGCAAAUGCAACGAAUUCGAGGGCUUCGUCUCCGGCAAAGAAUAUUCUGAAAGGUAUCUUCCACACCCACUACUAAUAUCGAAGAUUGCAAUAAUUUCAGUUACAUAUACCACCUUUUGACGUUACUGCCUUAGCGUGCAAAUUAACAUGAAAAAACCCGCCUUGAAUGGUGUCGCGAUUUUAUCCAAUCGAUAAGUGAUUAAUUUGGUAAUAAUGUUUUUUGACAUGGCAGUUAAUAUCAUAGAGGAGUUCAUCUGAACCACGGUUAAGGAUAAUCCUUGUAAGGCAAAUUUGAUUGUUAAUCGCUCAAUUGCUCCAUUCCAAUUUAUUUUUCGAGUUCAUUUACUUAUUUGCUCUUUAGUUGAUUUAGUUCUUUCACCAUUUGUUUUUCAUGUUGAUAAAUACGUUUUAUAAUUUUUUACUCUUUGCAAUCAAGUUCGAAGCUAUAAAUUACGGUUAUUUUGUAUUUUUUUUAUAGGUAAUGGUUUGGUUGUAAAUUAUGCUAAUUGUUCAGUAAUCUAAAGGAUACAUUGGUCAUCGUGUUGUAGAUUGUAUUUUUAUUCGGUAUUUCUGUCUUGUAAGAAUAUUUGAACUUCAGAUUCUGUAACUUCAGCGUUUAGCUGUUGGUGUUUGUAAUUGGUGCCUAGUACAAGAACUAGAGUGCUGGCCGCAUUGCUGGUGAAUUCAUCGUGGUGUUACAAGGCUUUGGUCCUCUCUCUUGACAAUGUGACGGGCAUAAAUUUGCAAUACAAGGUUUUUUAGUCAGUUUAGGUUUGUCCUGUUUAGUUAUUAUUGAAACACUUGUUGCACACACCAGUCAUUAAAAAGUUACUCUAAUUACUCAUGGAAUUGGUUCUUUU
Tripterygium wilfordii is the source of this 3174-nucleotide long non-coding RNA. RefSeq lists it as uncharacterized. The record is from RefSeq and is a predicted model, not a curated record. The transcript has 4 exons. Lineage: Eukaryota; Viridiplantae; Streptophyta; Magnoliopsida; Celastrales; Celastraceae.